AGAUCUGGUUCUUCGUUCUCCUUCUCUUAAACUCUGCCGCUCCAUAACCCUAGACAGCCUUCCUUUCCAUUCUGCUUCAUCUCCAUUCUGGUUCACGCAUAUGCAUUCGAACGAUUCAAGCAUCAGUUACUAUGGAGAAAUCAGAGUCGGUGGUAGCCAAAACAAGAGGGGAGCAUAGAUUUCGACUGGUUGGAAGAUAGAGAAAAAAAGAGGGUGAUGGUGGAUUCAAGUGAUUCUGUAUUCGUUGAUUUGGAAACGAUUUAUAUUUGGUGGAAAGGACAUUAACAACACCAGUCAAAUUAAACAAGUCCUUGGAAGCCAUCAAGACACAUGUAUUUGUUGCAUCUGAAUAUCCUGUCAUCCUCACUCUUGAAGAUCACCUGACUCCUGAUUUUCAAGCCAAAGUUGCAAAGGUGGAUACAUUCAUUACAGAACGUUGCGGCAGAAACAGGAACAUACUCAAAAAGACGAUGUCAUCCUUUUAGAUUAAAUGAUUCUAAAAGUGCGAAGCGUAAAAAUUCUGUUGACUGGAUCGUAUCCGCAACACGCAUGUGGAUGAGAUCAUGCCAGAUGUGAUAGCACCGUCCCAAUGGAAAAUUUUCGGGCUUCGCCUCUUUAAAGAAGUAAAAGAUAGUAAUAAUUCAAGUGAGAGCCAACGGGCUGGUCAACCAGCUAUAAUGGCGGUUGGUGUGGUUGAGGGAACAUCAAAGGCCGUUUUUAGAAUCCUCAUGUCUAUCGGUCCUUCUAGAUACGAAUGGGAUUUUUGUUUCAAUGGUGGCACUGUGGUUGAACAUCUUGACGGUCAUACAGACAUAAUACACAUGCAACUAUGUAGAGAUUGGCUACCAUGGGGAAUUUCGAGGUUUACUCUUGAGGCGAUAUUGGAGAAGGGAAAAUGACGGGACAUAUGUUAUACUAUAUCACUCGGUGAUCCAUAGCAAGUGUCCAACACAAGAUAGUUACAUCCGAGCUUACAUUCGCAGUGGAGGAUUUGUGGUUAGCCCUCUGAAUCAAGGAAAAGAAUCUGUUGUUAAAACAUGCCUUCGGUUGAUUGGAAGUUGUGGAAAUACUAUUUUCCAAGAACAUCUACAAGGUCUCUGACAAUUCGUAUGCUUGGUAGAGUUUCAGAUAAUAAUUGCAGUGGGUUUUAUUGUGACUGUUGUCACACCCCGAAAUUAUCAGAGCAUGGCGUGACUGGACCGGUAUCUUCAUUGCACAGCGGAAGCAAAAAGCUAAGA
Molecule: long non-coding RNA, 1238 nt
Organism: Helianthus annuus (common sunflower)
Lineage: Eukaryota; Viridiplantae; Streptophyta; Magnoliopsida; Asterales; Asteraceae
Exons: 12
Source: RefSeq, a predicted model, not a curated record